This 253-nucleotide ribosomal RNA is filed under the name uncultured bacterium. RNAcentral describes it as "partial 16S ribosomal RNA". It matches the Rfam family "Bacterial small subunit ribosomal RNA", at positions 524 to 776 of the family's 1533-position model. The record is from RNAcentral.
UACGGAGGGUGCAAGCGUUAAUCGGAAUUACUGGGCGUAAAGCGCGCGUAGGCGGCUGGGUAAGUCGAUUGUGAAAGCCCCGGGCUCAACCUGGGAAUUGCAGUCGAGACUGUUCGGCUAGAGUGUGGGAGAGGGCAGUGGAAUUCCCGGUGUAGCGGUGAAAUGCGUAGAUAUCGGGAGGAACAUCAGUGGCGAAGGCGACUGCCUGGCCCAACACUGACGCUGAGGUGCGAAAGCGUGGGUAGCAAACAGG